UACAGAGGUCUCAAGCGUUGUUCGGAUUCAUUGGGCGUAAAGGGUGCGUAGGCGGCGCGGUAAGUCGGGUGUGAAAUCUCGGAGCUUAACUCCGAAACUGCAUUCGAUACUGCCGUGCUUGAGGACUGGAGAGGAGACUGGAAUUUACGGUGUAGCGGUGAAAUGCGUAGAUAUCGUAAGGAAGACCAGUGGCGAAGGCGGGUCUCUGGACAGUCACUGACGCUGAGGCACGAAAGUGAGGGGAGCAAACGGG
This 253-nucleotide ribosomal RNA is filed under the name uncultured bacterium. RNAcentral describes it as "partial 16S ribosomal RNA". It matches the Rfam family "Bacterial small subunit ribosomal RNA", at positions 524 to 776 of the family's 1533-position model. The record is from RNAcentral.